GUGUCGGAGCUCGAGGCCUGGGCCGCCUCCAUGAACGCGCUGUUCGAGGAGGCCGAGCGCUUCCACCUGGUCGUGGAGUGACCAGAGAGACCCCCAGAGACCCCCGGGAGAGCCCCCCAAGACACCUGGGGACCCUCAGAGACCCUCAGGAAACCCCAAGGGACACCUGGAGACCCCCAAGAGCUCAGGAGAAACCUGGGGACCCUCAUGGGACCCCCGGACCCCCCAUAAUGUGUGGGACACCCCCCGAUUUUUGGGACCCCACCCCCGUUUUUUCCUCAAUAAACUCGGUUUCUGCCGCGGCCUCGCUGUGCAAUGACGCAGUUUGUGGCGUCACACACCCGCAGAAUUGGGUCACUGUCUCUUUAAGAGCGGGGGCGUGGCCUUGCAGCCAAUCACCGUGCGGCGCGAUGACAUCACCCGCCGAAGGGGCGUGGUUCCUGCCAAGCCACGCCCCCGGGGCGCCCAGGUCCCCCCAAAAAACUUCCCCGGCUCCCCCCGGCCAUGGAGCCCCCCCGAGCGGCGCCCCCUCCCCCCGAGAUGGAAUUUGGGGGGCCCUGGGGCGCGGGGGCUCUGUCGCUGCUCCUCCCUUUGGGGCUCGUGGGGGGUCGUGAGCGCCACGGUGGGGGGGGGGGGGGGGCUGGGGGGCCCCUCCCCCCGCCCUGGCCGUGCCCACCCCCGCGCUCGCGCUGGUGCUGGCCUGGGUGGGGGCGCUCGGAAUGGGGGGCUGGAGACCCCCGAGGAGCCCCGGUGACCCCCCAGGACCCCUCCGGGACCUCGGCUGGCUGCUGUUGCUGGGGGGGGCCCUGGGGGGGUCCCUGGCCCUGGGGGUCCCCCUGCCCCCCCUGUGCCCCCUCCUCCCCCCGCUGGCCGCGGCCGCCUCCAGCGUCGCCUUCGGCCUCGCCCUCCUCAUCCUCGCGCGGCGGCGGCUGCGGGCGGGGGGCACCGGACACCCCGUGUAUGAAUUCUUCGUGGGGGGAGGAGCGGGGACCCCCCUGGAGCCCCCCGAGAAUCUGAACUGGGAGCGGGUCGGGCUCUGCGCCUGGUUCCUGGUGCUCUCCGCGGCCCUGGGGGAGCAGCAGCGCCUUUGGGGCUCCCCCUCGCUGCCGCUGGCGCUCGUGGCGGCCGCGCAGGGGGGGGCGGUGCUGCGGCGGCUCAGGGAGCUGAGCGCGAGUCCUGCCCCCGGCCCCGGGGGGUUCCUGGGGCUCUUUGGGGGUCUCGCCUGGGGCCCUUUCGGGGGUCCCCUCCCAGCGCUGCUGCUGCUGAGGAGACCCCAGCAGGGGGCUGGGGGGCGCCGCGGGGGCGGCCUGUGGGGGGCUCUACGGUGGGCACGGGGGCGUACUGGGGGAACUGGGGAGUUCUGGGGGGAUUUGGGGGGGAAUUGGGGGAUACUGGGGGGCACUGG
RNAcentral lists this long non-coding RNA (1405 nucleotides) under Camarhynchus parvulus. RNAcentral describes it as "lncRNA (ENSCPVG00000017504.1)". Lineage: Eukaryota; Metazoa; Chordata; Aves; Passeriformes; Thraupidae. The record is from RNAcentral.